AGUGAACGCUGGCGGUAGGCCUAACACAUGCAAGUCGAACGGCAGCACAGUAAGAGCUUGCCCUUACGGGUGGCGAGUGGCGGACGGGUGAGGAAUACAUCGGAAUCUACUUUUUCGUGGGGGAUAACGUAGGGAAACUUACGCUAAUACCGCAUACGACCUACGGGUGAAAGCAGGGGAUCUUCGGACCUUGCGCGAUUGAAUGAGCCGAUGUCGGAUUAGCUAGUUGGCGGGGUAAAGGCCCACCAAGGCGACGAUCCGUAGCUGGUCUGAGAGGAUGAGCAGCCAGACUGGAACUGAGACACGGUACAGACUCCUACGGGAGGCAGCAGUGGGGAAUAUUGGACAAUGGGCGCAAGCCUGAUCCAGCCAUACCGCGUGAAUGAAGAAGGCCUUCGGGUUGUAAAGCCCUUUUGUUGGGAAAGAAAAGCAGCAGGUUAAUACCCCGCUGUUCUGACGGUACCCAAAGAAUAAGCACCGGCUAACUUCGUG
RNAcentral lists this ribosomal RNA (492 nucleotides) under uncultured bacterium. Its description in RNAcentral is "partial 16S ribosomal RNA". It matches the Rfam family "Bacterial small subunit ribosomal RNA", at positions 29 to 507 of the family's 1533-position model. The record is from RNAcentral.